Molecule: non-coding RNA, 473 nt
Organism: Pelobates cultripes (western spadefoot toad)
Lineage: Eukaryota; Metazoa; Chordata; Amphibia; Anura; Pelobatidae
Source: the annotation of a GenBank genome assembly
UAGGUUGAGGAGGCAGUGACUAUGGCGGUGGAGGAGGAUGAGGUAGCCAACACUAUUAUAUAUAUAUAUAUAUAUAUAUAUAUAUAUAUAUAUUUUUUAUUGGGGUAGCCCCCAAAAAUAUUGGGACAUAUAAAAAAAAGACAACUCUGUUCCGCAGAGUAGCUGUUGACAUUAUAGUUGCGCAGGAACUUUGCCAGUUUCUGCGUCUACCAUGGUGACCACGGGUAACGGGGAAUCAGGGUUCCAUUCCUUACAGGGACGCUGAGAAACGGCUACCACAUGCAAGGAAGGCAGCAGGCGCGCAAAUGACCCACUCCCGACGCGGGAAGGUAGUGAAGACAAAUAACAAUACAGGACUCGUUAGAGGCCCUGUAAUUGUAAUGAGUCCACUUGAAAUCCUUUAACUCUGAUCAAUUGGAGGGAAGUCUGGUGCAGAGCCACUGACCCGUGCGUGCUGCAGCUGAAACUCCACU